This 497-nucleotide ribosomal RNA is filed under the name uncultured bacterium. Its description in RNAcentral is "partial 16S ribosomal RNA". It matches the Rfam family "Bacterial small subunit ribosomal RNA", at positions 28 to 507 of the family's 1533-position model. The record is from RNAcentral.
GAUGAACGCUGGCGGCGUGCCUAAUACAUGCAAGUCGAGCGAACAGAUGAGGAGCUUGCUCCUCUGACGUUAGCGGCGGACGGGUGAGUAACACGUGGAUAACCUACCUAUAAGACUGGGAUAACUUCGGGAAACCGGAGCUAAUACCGGAUAAUAUAUUGAACCGCAUGGUUCAAUAGUGAAAGACGGUUUUGCUGUCACUUAUAGAUGGAUCCGCGCCGCAUUAGCUAGUUGGUAAGGUAACGGCUUACCAAGGCGACGAUGCGUAGCCGACCUGAGAGGGUGAUCGGCCACACUGGAACUGAGACACGGUCCAGACUUCUACGGGAGGCAGCAGUAGGGAAUCUUCCGCAAUGGGCGAAAGCCUGACGGAGCAACGCCGCGUGAGUGAUGAAGGUCUUCGGAUCGUAAAACUCUGUUAUUAGGGAAGAACAAAUGUGUAAGUAACUAUGCACGUCUUGACGGUACCUAAUCAGAAAGCCACGGCUAACUACGUG